UGGGGAAUUUUGGACAAUGGGCGCAANCCUGAUCCAGCCAUGCCGCGUGCGGGAAGAAGGCCUUCGGGUUGUAAACCGCUUUUGUCAGGGAAGAAAUCUUCUGAGUUAAAUACCUCGGGGAGGAUGACGGUACCUGAAGAAUAAGCACCGGCUAACUACGUGCCAGCAGCCGCGGUAAUACGUAGGGUGCAAAGCGUUAAUCGGAAUUACUGGGCGUAAAGCGUGCGCAGCGGUUUUNUAAGACAGAGGUGAAAUCCCCGGGCUCAACCUGGGAACUGCCUUUGUGACUGCAAGGCUUGAGUGCGGCAGAGGGGGGAAUGGAAUUCCGCGUGUAGCAGUGAAAUGCGUNGAUAUGCGGAGGAACACCGAUGGCGAAGGCAAUCCCCUGGGCCUGCACUGACGCUCAUGCACGAAAA
RNAcentral lists this ribosomal RNA (416 nucleotides) under uncultured bacterium. RNAcentral's name for it is "partial 16S ribosomal RNA". It matches the Rfam family "Bacterial small subunit ribosomal RNA", at positions 355 to 759 of the family's 1533-position model. The record is from RNAcentral.